RNAcentral lists this ribosomal RNA (460 nucleotides) under uncultured bacterium. RNAcentral describes it as "partial 16S ribosomal RNA". It matches the Rfam family "Bacterial small subunit ribosomal RNA", at positions 28 to 523 of the family's 1533-position model. The record is from RNAcentral.
GAUGAGCGCUGGCGGCGUGCCUAAUACAUGCAAGUCGAGCGGUAAGGCUCCUUCGGGAGUACACGAGCGGCGGACGGCUGAGUAACACGUAGGAACGUACCCCAAAGUGAGGGAUAACUGCUCGAAAGAGUAGCUAAUACCGCAUGUGAUCCACGGAUUAAAGCUUUAUGUGCUUUGGGAACGGCCUGCGUUCGAUUAGCUUGUUGGCGGGGUAAAAGCCCACCAAGGCGACGAUCGAUAGCUGGUCUGAGAGGAUGAUCAGCCAGACUGGGACUGAGACACGGCCCAGACUCCUACGGGAGGCAGCAGUAGGGAAUUUUCCACAAUGGGCGAAGGCCUGAUGGAGCAACGCCGCGUGCAGGAUGAAGGCCUUCGGAUUGUAAACUGCUUUUAUUGGUGACGAUUAUGACGGUAACCAAUGAAUAAGGGUCUGCUAACUACGUGCCAGCCGCCGCCGUAA